RNAcentral lists this transfer RNA (78 nucleotides) under Mustela putorius furo (domestic ferret). It matches the Rfam family "tRNA". From Rfam's summary of the family: Transfer RNA (tRNA) molecules are approximately 80 nucleotides in length. Their secondary structure includes four short double-helical elements and three loops (D, anti-codon, and T loops). Lineage: Eukaryota; Metazoa; Chordata; Mammalia; Carnivora; Mustelidae. The record is from Rfam by way of RNAcentral.
ACCUGGUUGGCUCAGUCGGUAGGGCAUGUGACUCUUGUCUUGAUCUCAGGGUUGUGAGUUUGAACCCCACAUUGGGUG